Molecule: ribosomal RNA, 253 nt
Filed under: uncultured bacterium
Lineage: Bacteria
Description: partial 16S ribosomal RNA
Rfam family: Bacterial small subunit ribosomal RNA
Source: RNAcentral
UACAGGGGGGGCAAGCGUUGUUCGGAAUUACUGGGCGUAAAGGGCUCGUAGGCGGCCAACUAAGUCGGACGUGAAAUCCCUCGGCUUAACCGGGGAACUGCGUCUGAUACUGGAUGGCUUGAAUCCGGGAGAGGGAUGCGGAAUUCCAGGUGUAGCGGUGAAAUGCGUAGAUAUCUGGAGGAACACCGGUGGCGAAGGCGGCAUCCUGGACCGGCAUUGACGCUGAGGAGCGAAAGCCAGGGGAGCAAACGGG